RNAcentral lists this microRNA (23 nucleotides) under Cordylochernes scorpioides. Lineage: Eukaryota; Metazoa; Arthropoda; Arachnida; Pseudoscorpiones; Chernetidae. The record is from RNAcentral.
AGGUGUUCUGGUGGGAUGUGAUU